This 254-nucleotide ribosomal RNA is filed under the name uncultured bacterium. RNAcentral describes it as "partial 16S ribosomal RNA". It matches the Rfam family "Bacterial small subunit ribosomal RNA", at positions 524 to 776 of the family's 1533-position model. The record is from RNAcentral.
GACGAACCGUGCGAACGUUAUUCGGAAUCACUGGGCGUAAAGGGCGCGUAGGCGGUCAGCACAAGUCAGUUGUGAAAUCUCCGGGCUUAACUCGGAAAGGUCAACUGAUACUGUGCGACUAGAGUGCAGAAGGGGCAACUGGAAUUCUCGGUGUAGCGGUGAAAUGCGUAGAUAUCGAGAGGAACACCUGCGGCGAAGGCGGGUUGCUGGGCUGACACUGACGCUGAUGCGCGAAAGCCAGGGGAGCGAACGGG